UACGGGGGGGGCAAGCGUUGUUCGGAAUUACUGGGCGUAAAGGGCGCGUAGGCGGCUCGCUAAGUUGGAUGUGAAAACUCUGGGCUUAACCCAGAGCCUGCAUUCAAAACUGACGGGCUAGAGUUCUGGAGGGGAUAGCGGAAUUCCUGGUGUAGCGGUGAAAUGCGUAGAUAUCAGGAGGAACACCGGUGGCGAAGGCGGCUAUCUGGACAGAAACUGACGCUGAGGCGCGAAAGCUAGGGGAGCAAACAGG
Molecule: ribosomal RNA, 253 nt
Filed under: uncultured bacterium
Lineage: Bacteria
Description: partial 16S ribosomal RNA
Rfam family: Bacterial small subunit ribosomal RNA
Source: RNAcentral